Molecule: transfer-messenger RNA, 374 nt
Filed under: Sulfurovaceae
Lineage: Bacteria; Pseudomonadati; Campylobacterota; Epsilonproteobacteria; Campylobacterales
Description: UBA1140 sp020721385 Standard tmRNA
Rfam family: transfer-messenger RNA
About the family: Bacterial tmRNA, also known as 10Sa RNA or SsrA, is named for its dual tRNA and mRNA-like properties. Its role is to liberate the mRNA from a stalled ribosome.
Source: RNAcentral
GGGGAUGACCUGGUUUCGACUGGAGUAGUCGGAGUUAUGUGCAUGUCGGACUGAGCAAUUCCGUUAUACGGCUCAAACGCAAUAACUGCAAACAAUACAGAUUACCGUCCAGCUUACGCAGUAGCGUAAGUUUCAACCCCGACUUCGUCGGAGGGCUGCCUCUCUAGUGAGUGUCAUCUUAACUAGAUUUUGAGGUAUAACAUCUGAUGACUAUGCACCGUAGAAGCUAUGCUACAGUGUGAGAAUUUUAGCUCGUCUUGAAAAGUUUUGGAUGUGGUACAAAACAAGAUUAAACAUAACAACAUCAUCUAAGCAUGUAGAGUCAUAGCACUAGCUAUUUUAGGACUGGGGUUCGAUUCCCCACGUCUCCACCA